RNAcentral lists this non-coding RNA (23 nucleotides) under Cricetulus griseus (Chinese hamster). Lineage: Eukaryota; Metazoa; Chordata; Mammalia; Rodentia; Cricetidae. The record is from RNAcentral.
AGAACGAAGAAUGUUUGUGAUGG